ACUGUCUCUAUCCGUCAUUGUCAAUUGUACAUUUUUGUGAUUUUAGUUCAACUUAUCACAAAAUACUCGAAAACGAUUUAAAGUUUCAAUGUCUACAUCUGUUAUUUUAACGGAAUUCACUACAAAACAUUUAUUCCAGUGGUGUAGCAUUUGAAUGCUGCAGCAUGGAACCCGACAGAAUGUGGAGCGAUACAGACAGAAGCGGAAGCAGCAGACCCGUCUCUUUCGGGAGAAAAAGCGCCGCCUGGAAGAAGAGGAGUGCGAAUGGAACUAAUGUACCGUUCACAAGAAACACGUAAGUUCUACUAGAAGCUCAACGCAUCCCGCAUCCCGCAAAGGCUUCGUGCAGAAAGCCGAAAUCUGCAGGGAGAAGGACAGGAGCCUUCUGACGGACAAAUCUGAGGUGAUCGAAAGGGGGAAGCAACGUUUCGACGAGCACCUGAAUGGCGAAGAGAAUGUAGGCACGGGGAUCCAGGCAGCGGAGGACAUGGCUAUGUUGGUGCAGCAGAGGACGGGAACGAAACAAAUCCCACGCUGAGGGAAGUUAAGGAUGCCAUCCACCAGCUCAAAAACAACAAAGCGGCUGGUAAGGACGGUAUCGCAGCAGAACUCAUCAAGACGGGCCCGGAAAAGUUGGCCACCUGUCUGCACCGGAUAGUAGUCAAGAUCUGGGAAACCGAACAGCUACUGGAGGAGUGGAAAGAAGGGAUAAUCUGUCCCAUCCACAAGAAAGGCGACAAGUUAACCCUUUAUUAAACAGUGCACAACGAGGAAAGAUGCAUUCAGCGCCUUAAAAUGAUUUUCUAGGUUAAUAUUGUCUUCUACAAGGUUGUUCCUAAAAAUAAGGCCCUCUUUUCAAAUUGAAAAUUUCAAUAAACAUGAAAAUUAGGGUGGUCCAUAUUUUCAAAGAAAUUGGGAACCAAACUUUUUUAUUUGCAAGAAUGACUAUAUACAUUCUUUGGAAUAGUUGUAGAUCUAUCAAUUUUGAGCAAGUUUGCUGAAGACACUUUCUUUGUAGCUUUAAAAUUGACCGAUCUAGAGGUAUUUUUCUGAAUAAGCUUAGGGUGGUUCAAGAAAAACCGGUUUUCUGGCGUUAACUUUUUCAUUUUCGAAUUUACAUCAAAGUCGCCCAAGAAAUACUUGUAGACAUUGGCGUAUCUAGGAUUUUUUCCUAGGGGGUGCCUAGGGGGUGCCAGUUUCAGUGGCUUCCAGGUUGUUGUUUUUUUUUUGUUAAAGGAAAUACCAAUCCACCCUCAAUUUCUCAGGCCAGUAGUGCCGAACUCGCCUCGGUCGAAAAGCCACUUUAAUAAAGAAAAAAAAAAUUCUCAGUCGCGAGAAAAAUGAGCCCACAAAUUUAAACGCACUAUAUUUUAGAGAAUAGCUUUUUUGGGAAAUUCGAUCCGUUGUACUGAUUUAACACUUUACUUGUCAUGGAGGUAUGAAAACUUGAUAAAUUGAUUGCGUAUAAUACAUGGAAUUUAUAUUUUCACUUUGAACUUAACAAUCAUCGCGACAACCCCUUUGUUGUGUGGAUUAAACACAAUACAUUUUCAAGAGCAAUUAUUAGAAGUGUAAAUCUCGGAAACUAUAAAAUAUACACAAAUUUGCGUGUAACUUGUAUUCAUCAUGA
Molecule: long non-coding RNA, 1630 nt
Organism: Aedes albopictus (Asian tiger mosquito)
Lineage: Eukaryota; Metazoa; Arthropoda; Insecta; Diptera; Culicidae
Exons: 2
Source: RefSeq, a predicted model, not a curated record